UGGGGAAUCUUCCGCAAUGGGCGAAAGCCUGACGGAGCAACGCCGCGUGGGUGAUGAAGGCCUUCGGGUUGUAAAACCCUGUCUUAUGGGAAGAAGAAAGUGACGGUACCAUAGGAGGAAGCCACGGCUAACUACGUGCCAGCAGCCGCGGUAAUACGUAGGUGGCAAGCGUUGUCCGGAAUCACUGGGCGUAAAGGGCGCGUAGGCGGGCUAUUAAGUCAGAUGUGUAAACCCUAGGCUCAACCUGGAGAUUGCAUCUGAUACUGGUAGUUUUGAGUGCGGGAGAGGAAAGUGGAAUUCCUAGUGUAGCGGUGAAAUGCGUAGAGAUUAGGAAGAACACCAUUGGCGAAGGCGACUUUCUGGACCGGAACUGACGCUGUGGCAUGAAAGCGUGG
This 395-nucleotide ribosomal RNA is filed under the name uncultured bacterium. RNAcentral's name for it is "bacterial SSU rRNA". It matches the Rfam family "Bacterial small subunit ribosomal RNA", at positions 355 to 764 of the family's 1533-position model. The record is from RNAcentral.